This 465-nucleotide ribosomal RNA is filed under the name uncultured Klebsiella sp. Its description in RNAcentral is "bacterial SSU rRNA". It matches the Rfam family "Bacterial small subunit ribosomal RNA", at positions 338 to 795 of the family's 1533-position model. The record is from RNAcentral. Lineage: Bacteria; Pseudomonadati; Pseudomonadota; Gammaproteobacteria; Enterobacterales; Enterobacteriaceae.
CCUACGGGUGGCUGCAGUGGGGAAUAUUGCACAAUGGGCGCAAGCCUGAUGCAGCUAUGCCGCGUGUGUGAAGAAGGCCUUCGGGUUGUAAAGCACUUUCAGCGGGGAGGAAGGCGGUGAGGUUAAUAACCUCAUCGAUUGACGUUACCCGCAGAAGAAGCACCGGCUAACUCCGUGCCAGCAGCCGCGGUAAUACGGAGGGUGCGAGCGUUAAUCGGAAUUACUGGGCGUAAAGCGCACGCAGGCGGUCUGUCAAGUCGGAUGUGAAAUCCCCGGGCUCAACCUGGGAACUGCAUUCGAAACUGGCAGGCUAGAGUCUUGUAGAGGGGGGUAGAAUUCCAGGUGUAGCGGUGAAAUGCGUAGAGAUCUGGAGGAAUACCGGUGGCGAAGGCGGCCCCCUGGACAAAGACUGACGCUCAGGUGCGAAAGCGUGGGGAGCAAACAGGAUUAGAUACCCGUGUAGUC